UACGUAGGACCCAAGCGUUAUCCGGAAUUACUGGGCGUAAAGAGUUGCGUAGGUGGUUUGUUAAGCGGGCAGUGAAAUCGUGUGGCUCAACCAUACACACAUUGUCUGAACUGGCAAACUUGAGUGAGAUAGAGGUAACUAGAAUUCCAAGUGUAGGAGUGAAAUCCGUAGAUAUUUGGAGGAAUACCGAUGGCGUAGGCAG
This 202-nucleotide ribosomal RNA is filed under the name uncultured prokaryote. RNAcentral describes it as "partial 16S ribosomal RNA". It matches the Rfam family "Bacterial small subunit ribosomal RNA", at positions 524 to 724 of the family's 1533-position model. The record is from RNAcentral.